This 253-nucleotide ribosomal RNA is filed under the name uncultured bacterium. Its description in RNAcentral is "partial 16S ribosomal RNA". It matches the Rfam family "Bacterial small subunit ribosomal RNA", at positions 524 to 776 of the family's 1533-position model. The record is from RNAcentral.
UACGUAGGGUGCAAGCGUUGUCCGGAAUUAUUGGGCGUAAAGAGCUCGUAGGCGGUCUGUCGCGUCUGGUGUGAAAAUCCAGGGCUUAACCCUGGACCUGCAUCGGGUACGGGCAGACUAGAGUGCGGUAGGGGAGAUCGGAAUUCCUGGUGUAGCGGUGAAAUGCGCAGAUAUCAGGAGGAACACCGGUGGCGAAGGCGGGUCUCUGGGCAACAACUGACGCUGAGGAGCGAAAGCGUGGGGAGCAAACAGG